Galleria mellonella (greater wax moth) is the source of this 836-nucleotide long non-coding RNA. RefSeq lists it as uncharacterized. NCBI's taxonomy places the organism in Eukaryota, Metazoa, Arthropoda, Insecta, Lepidoptera, Pyralidae. The transcript has 4 exons. The record is from RefSeq and is a predicted model, not a curated record.
UGACAGCUAUCUUAUCUAUAGCAUUUUAUAUAAAGAUAAUAAUAUAAAAACCGUACAACGAACGAGUAAGCAACAACGCUGAGUGCGCGUUGGUAGAUGGCUAUAUAUACACAAUAAAUUAUCUAGUAGGAGGCACGUAGGUACAUACGAAUCACUCCGCUCCAACCGACCCGUACACAAAACACGAAUGUGCGACGUUGCCAACUCUCAUCGGGCGCCACUACCUACCUACGUAUAACAUAACCCAAGGCGACUGGCAAACAGAGCUGUAUGGUGAGUGUAGAUCAUCGGUUGGUUGCCAGUUAGCACGGAUGGAUCGAUUUAUGUAUUGCGUAUUUGAAUUUAUACACGCUCUAGAAAUAGGAAUUUGAAUAGAUGAAAACAAUUUGCAGAUUUGACAGUAAAGAGCUAUAUUCAAGCACAUGUGACCUGGCCAACUUAACCGAACACAAAGACGACACGAUCUAUGAAUACGAUCACUAUACCGGUCCACAAAAUGCUUUUUCAUGCUACCUUUAAAGGAUCUGAAGUUAUAGGACGAAGGAAACAUGUCACGGCAAAACAAGCAAAUUUACCAGCCCGAUAACGUUGGUAUGCCUACGCGUCACACACACAAUACAAAGCCAGUUACUUGAGUGGAAAGCGACUUAUGUUCUGUCUUGGCUUUGCGACGUUGCAACAUGUCGUCAUUGACGUGCCGUGUCGACCGCCGACCGGUGAGCGAGGUACGUAGGUAGGUAACGAGAGGAGACUCAGCGCGACCACACUUUUUGUAACGCUUUGUUUGUUAUUUUACAUUUACAUCAUUCUAGCAGCAGUAGAAUGGAAGCCGGCAU